GAGUGGGCAUGCUUUAAAUGCCAUCAGGCAGCCGAGAAGGCACUAAAGGCGGCUCAGUACACAAUAGAUGUUGACAAGACUAGUGUCCACGACUUGGUUGAGAAUUGCGAUAGUUUACAUGACUCCCAGUUAACCGACUUAGCAAGGGAUCUGCAGAGACUUGUUGUUCGUUCGGCGCGCAUGCGUUAUCCAGAUCAGGUGUCCUUUCCCAAGAUCCCAAACGAAGUUUACUCGGCAGAGAUGGCUCAGGAGGCCUUACAGCUUUCAAAGAAUAUUUUAAUGCGAGUCAAAGACAGGAUACCCUAAGGGUGUGGCAAGUGUUUGGACUACCUGAGAAUAUUCAAGGAUACAUUUCAGGAGUUCCUGCCGAUGUUCCUACGCAUGUGUUAAUCAGUGGAUGUUAACUUAAUCGAACAAUUCAGUUUUAAAAAGUCAAGUAAUACAUGUAAAGUGAUCCAUGUUCUGAUGGGAAAAUAUUUCAAACGCGUACAUGUUCUCUAGCGUGGAGUUUAUCGUUCCAGUAAGUGCAUUUUUUUUUUUUACUUCUUAAGUCCGUAGAAAUCUUCGCUCUAGGUAUUCAAACAUUUAGGCGUAAGUGCAAAAGCAUGACUAUAGUGAGCAUUACAAUAUUUGAUUGUUAUUUGGUGAACCUACAGCUUGCUUGUUUGUUUGUUUUUUCACAAAGAGACGAUAUUAGCUUAGUUUGAGUUAUUUUAUACCGUUCAAGAAGGCUAGGAAAAUCUGCCUCUAACAGAAGUUGCGUCAAUGCAGUCAAAUAGGCCGGUACUUUGAUGUUGACAGUGGCCGACAACAUAAAAUACCACUGUUUGUUAGCCGCUGCAUUUCGUAUUUACCUUUUUUAGCAGAGUUAAACUUGUUGACCAGUAAGAUCGAAGACAAAGUUUUGAACGUGUCCUAGGCUUGCCUUCACAUACCUACAUAUACAUAAAACUUUAUUUUAUGUCAGAGUUUGAGUAGCUAAAAAUAGGCUAGUAUCUCCGAAAAUCAAAAAAUCAAAGAAUCAAAAAAUCAAAAUAAAGUAACACUAUGUUUAUGGAAUAAAAUAUUAACUUAGAGGAAAUUACAAUUAGCCAAUCAAUUCAUUGCAGGCGCCUUUGAAUCACAGACUAUGUAAAACAUGAGCCUUUAGGAUUCUUGACCCAAUAGCUCGAUUAUAUUCUUAAUUUGUGAGUCAGGAAUAAACGUAGGCGCGUCAUUUCACAGCUACCAAAGUUCUUCCUAUUUUCAAGCACGAACCUAAUUCCUAUUUACUCGUUAUAGAUAGAUACUGUUUGCUACGUAGUUUUCAGUAGAAUAUAAUAAGUAAUUCAGAAUAAAUCAAUUAAAAAGUAAAUGCAAGAAUAUAGAAACGCUAUAAUUGCUCAAAAUAAGGUUGAAUACAUGUCUGUCAAACAGAGGAAUCAGUACAGAUAGUUACAAGGUAGAGAGAGGUACACCUUUCAGUUGAGGGUAUAAAUAAACAAAUAUGUUCUAAUUUCCAAUAGCAAUUUCCAAGUAGACAAUAGUUUUAUACUAGUAAAUUUUUGGAGACUUGUACCGUCUCUUUGUUGUUGUUGUUUUUUCAAUGGUGUUGUAAUCUUUUUACAGCGGUUUCGUUAAAACACAGUGCCAAAACGUUUUUCGGUGGUUUUCAUGUUUUUAUUUUUAAGCUAAUAAGCUCAAUGUAGGCUAUUUUUGAAACAAUGAACUUGUUUAGGCAGCAAUACAAAGCACACAACUUUGAUAGCUUAAUUUAUUUUCCCUGGAGACGCCUGGUCUAAAAUGGUUGUGUUUCUGUUGUUGAAUAAAUCUGAAUUAUAAACAUUCAAUGGAAUUUAACGAUGCCAGAGGCAAAUAUAUUGAAAUAAAUGUAGUUAAAAUCUCUGUAGCACACAGUCAAAUAGGCCAUAUGCAAGGCCCGUUUGUUAGAGAAACAAGCAAAAAAUAAAACUAAUUUGUGCUUAUUUGA
This 1969-nucleotide long non-coding RNA is filed under the name Orbicella faveolata. Its description in RNAcentral is "uncharacterized LOC110053078". Lineage: Eukaryota; Metazoa; Cnidaria; Anthozoa; Scleractinia; Merulinidae. The record is from RNAcentral.